This is a long non-coding RNA of Helianthus annuus (common sunflower), 2040 nucleotides long. RefSeq lists it as uncharacterized. Lineage: Eukaryota; Viridiplantae; Streptophyta; Magnoliopsida; Asterales; Asteraceae. The transcript is spliced from 5 exons. The record is from RefSeq and is a predicted model, not a curated record.
UGGCAUGUGAUCAUUGGACCUUUUUUUUUUGGCCAGCCGGUGAAAUCGUGUCUUCUCCCCAUCAAACCAUAUAUGUUCCCUUUUGCAUUCCACCACCAUGAUUCACUUUCAUUAUGAAAAGAAAGCAUGAAACUGAGGGUUAGACACUUGAUUUGAAGAUGAAGCCAGACUUAGAGAAUGUGAUUAGAGAGAGAGAGAAAUGGUUGCUUUCGCCGGCCGCCGAGCCUUCACGCCGGUGAUCAGAUACUUUCUCCGGGUUACAAGAACCCGUCAGAAAUGGAAGCAAAAAAAAUGGCAAUGGCAGGUCAAAGAUUGGAGAUUACGAGUUUAUUGAGCAGCUUGGUAGAGGAGCUUUCCUCCAAUUUCUCGGUAUUGUUUGUUUCAGUGAUUGAAUUUACGAAAAUUACACAGCGUUUGUCAACGGUGGGUGUAUGCUUCUCGGUCUUCUUCAGUUCAAGUGAGGAAAAAACAAUCCCUUUGAUUUGAUUUUGCUAUUUUCAAUCACUUUUUGAUGGAUUUUUAUUUCUUUGCUCGAAAUUUCAUGACGGAUUUCAAGAUCUGUUAUUUUGUGAAGAUUAAUGAGAACAGUAUCCUGACAGACACCAUAAUUGCAAACUAUAAUGGGUAAAGUUGUUUCUGAGCAGUUUGAGUGUUGAACAUUAAUAAUGGGGUAGAAACUUUGAUUUAUGAAUGAUGUUAUUUUGGUUGUGCAUGGAUGGGUUGACCAUAUUUAGCCUGAAUACACAAUUUUUCUUUUUCAUGAAGGCCUUUGUGAUCACAAACUGGUGCUACCUGUUCAAGUAUAUUUUUCAACAUUGAUGAUUCAUAGUAGGAAAAACAUAAAACUUAUAUGGAAACUUCAAAAAUCUUGAAUUUAGAUAGAAUAGUAAGAGGAAAAAACAAGACGUGUUUUAAUCUUAAGUAUUGAGUUAUAGUCAGUUAAUAUCACUUGUAGAGUUGCAUAGCGAAGGUGAUUGUUGAUGGUGGUUCCGGCGAAGAGCAAAGGUGGUUGUUGCUGGUAGUUCAGGUGGUGAACAGUAACGGUAGUGGUAUGUAUGCCGACUGAUGAUGUUGUGAAUCUUGUGAUGGUGAUUUAUGGUGGUUGUCGGCUGCGAAGACCCUUUUCAGCCACCGGUCAGAGGUGUUAGCUUGGUAAUUGUGGUUGGUAAGGUUGUGGUGGUAGUACAAAGGGACUAUAAUGGUGAUGGUUGAUAGUGGUGGUGGCUGCCGUGAUGAUUGUCGGUGGUGGAGACCCUCUCCGGCCGCCGAUCAAGUGGUGGUUAGUGGUUGGAGGUGGUCUAGACUCAAUCCUUCUUACUACGUCUCUUCAGAUACUCCAUGGGACAUGGGAGUGAAUGUGAUCGCAUUUGCAUGCUCUGUGCUAUAGGGAUGUGAUAUAUGGUUCAUCAAUUGGCCACCGGAAAUCAUUUCGUUGGACGCCACUAUCUCCGCUAUUAUUUUGAUUCCACUAUCUUCGCUACUACUUCAUUUUCACCGUGGAUCUAGUAAGCCAGGUUUCGAUCCUGAACAUCUGAAAGCCAGACUACGAUUCCAAGUACAAUUUAAGGGGGAGUCUGCUAGCAUAAGAGGAGUUUGAAGAGCCAGGAUCUGAUCAUAGAUCUGUGGGAUUGCGCAAACUGCUGAUACUGAUGAACUUAAGGAAUCAAGAGAUCUGAUCAAGAGAAUUAGAGUGAAGAAAGAGCCAGGUUGAUAUCCUGGAAAUGAAGAAAAGAAAGAAGAUUGAGGAUGCUUUACAUUGUCAGAUACUUUGGAAGAGUUCGAGAUGACUGAAGAUUGAAGACUCGAUACUGAAGACUUCGUCAACAUCUAAGGGGGAGUCUGUUGGUGCAUAUGUCUGUCGACUUCGUCUUGUAUCGAGUCUUAUAAUGUAUUAGAUAGAUCAAGGCACGUAGUACGAGAAAACUGUUAAAUAUGGGUUAGGAGGUGUUGAUUUCGUGCGAAAUAGCGAUUUCGUGUGAAUGUGAUUUCCGGUUUCAGUACCGAACUGCUGCCGAAGUGUCUACUCGCUGUAAAACUUUG